This 197-nucleotide non-coding RNA is filed under the name Gemmata sp. SH-PL17. RNAcentral also lists the same sequence under 1 other name. The record is from RNAcentral. Lineage: Bacteria; Pseudomonadati; Planctomycetota; Planctomycetia; Gemmatales; Gemmataceae.
AACUCACCCCACUCGAUAGGUGUCUCCGCCGUUCUCGCGGCGGGGGUGAAAAGGGAAGCCGGUGAGAAUCCGGCGCAGGGCCGCUGCUGUAUUCGGCCGGGAACGGGCACAAUGCCACUGCGGAGCACCGCGGGAAGGCCGCUCGAACCCGACAAAAGGCCGUAAGCCAGAAGACCUGCCUGUCGUGAUCGUCGUUC